GCCUCACACUCUGAAUUUUUCCCCCCUCCACCACUGUUACCAACCAACAAAUGUCUCAUCCAUUAAUGGGACUACGUCUAAUCAUGCACAAGGAAGGAAAGAAAGGGUACGGGCAAAAGUACCACAAGCUUAGUCUUACUUUACUGGUUAUUAGAAGCCCAGCAACUUCCCAUCCGCAAUUAGUCCCUUUUUUUUUUUGACAAAAAAUAGGGACAACUGAAACCACCAAUAGUACAAUUAGAGGCUCAGGCAGCUUUGGUAUUUCUAUUCGAUAGUCCAGAAACUAGCAGCAUAAUUUUUUAUGCAAUAGUGAAGAUUUUUAAUAUUUUGAAGUGAGAUGCCGAACGAAGGAUCUCGAGGGCCUUCUAUAAGUUUUCCUUUAGGUUUAGCCCUCCUUAUCAUUUUGUUGAUAUGCAUUAGUGGCUUCUUUUCUUGUUGCUACAACUGGAACAAGAUCCGAAGCCUUCUUCAACCUUCUUCCACCCCCGAUGCCAUCGAAGAGAAUCAUUCAGAUUCCACUCUUCCCCAUUCUCCUAUAAUUAAGAAUCAGACUGCUGAGCAAAAGCAUGAUGAAAGCUUUACGGUGUUGAUGCCUGGAGAUCGAGCUCCAAAAUAUUUGGCAUUUCCAGCUCCGCAUGGAGAACAUCAAGCAAAUAAUUCCGCAAAAUUAUAGUUGCAGUAUGUUGUAGUAAAGCUAAUUGCAGCACUAUUGAUACAGUUUACUCUAGACAGAUAAUUACUGCAGUAUUUUAUUAUCAACUUACUGGUGAGUAUGGUAGAAUUUUGACUGGGAAUAUUGUGUUUUCUUGAGAUUGA
Long non-coding RNA from Coffea arabica (coffee), 816 nucleotides. RefSeq lists it as uncharacterized. The record is from RefSeq and is a predicted model, not a curated record. NCBI's taxonomy places the organism in Eukaryota, Viridiplantae, Streptophyta, Magnoliopsida, Gentianales, Rubiaceae.